GGCGAACGCUGGCGGCGUGCCUAAUACAUGCAAGUCGAACGCACUCUCGUUUAGAUUGAAGGAGCUUGCUCCUGAUUGAUAAACAUUUGAGUGAGUGGCGGACGGGUGAGUAACACGUGGGUAACCUGCCCUAAAGUGGGGGAUAACAUUUGGAAACAGAUGCUAAUACCGCAUAAAACCUAAACACCGCAUGGUGUAGGGUUGAAAGAUGGUUUCGGCUAUCACUUUAGGAUGGACCCGCGGUGCAUUAGUUAGUUGGUGAGGUAAAGGCUCACCAAGACCGUGAUGCAUAGCCGACCUGAGAGGGUAAUCGGCCACACUGGGACUGAGACACGGCCCAGACUCCUACGGGAGGCAGCAGUAGGGAAUCUUCCACAAUGGACGAAAGUACUGAUGGAGCAACGCCGCGUGAGUGAAGAAGGUUUUCGGAUCGUAAAACUCUAGUUGUUGGAGAAGAAUGUAUCUGAUAGUAACUGAUCAGGUAGUGACGGUAUCC
This 496-nucleotide ribosomal RNA is filed under the name uncultured bacterium. Its description in RNAcentral is "bacterial SSU rRNA". It matches the Rfam family "Bacterial small subunit ribosomal RNA", at positions 28 to 480 of the family's 1533-position model. The record is from RNAcentral.